Molecule: small nuclear RNA, 189 nt
Filed under: Oncorhynchus mykiss (rainbow trout)
Lineage: Eukaryota; Metazoa; Chordata; Actinopteri; Salmoniformes; Salmonidae
Description: U2 spliceosomal RNA (ENSOMYG00000075694.1)
Rfam family: U2 spliceosomal RNA
About the family: U2 is a small nuclear RNA (snRNA) component of the spliceosome (involved in pre-mRNA splicing). Complementary binding between U2 snRNA (in an area lying towards the 5' end but 3' to hairpin I) and the branchpoint sequence (BPS) of the intron results the bulging out of an unpaired adenosine, on the BPS, which initiates a nucleophilic attack at the intronic 5' splice site, thus starting the first of two transesterification reactions that mediate splicing.
Source: RNAcentral
AUCGCUUCUCGGCCUUUUGGCUAAGAUCAAGUGUAGUAUCUGUUCUAUCAGUUUAAUAUCUGAUACGUCCCCCUCGGGGGACUACAUAUUAAAUGGAUUUUUCGAACAGGGAGUCGGAAAUGGGGCUUGCUCCGUCCGCUCCACGCAUCGACCCGGUAUUGCAGUACCUCCGGGAACGGUGCAACACUU